RNAcentral lists this long non-coding RNA (2229 nucleotides) under Felis catus (domestic cat). RNAcentral's name for it is "lncRNA (ENSFCAG00000049163.1)". The record is from RNAcentral. Lineage: Eukaryota; Metazoa; Chordata; Mammalia; Carnivora; Felidae.
CAAAGACGUGCAAGUCCCGCCACAGCCCAGGCAGGAAGUUCAUUGGCUAGAGGACUGGGAAAGAUCGGACGUUCAUUGGCCAGGAGAUAAGUCCCAGUCUUCCGUAAAUCACGCGGAAAUCGGUCUCUGUUAAAUUCGCUCCUGUGGAGGACGCAUGCGUGGGAUUCUCCACGCCUUAGUUUCUGGUUGCGUUUUAGGCAGAAACCGAUUCCCACCAGGCAUGAAACUGUCUGUCCGAAGCAUACACUCACAGGACUAGAGGACUUGCGAGAAUCCAUGUCAUGACCAGUAUGUGGAAAAAUGCUCAACUGCACGAGUACCAGCACAGCCCCAUCUGUCUCCCCCCUACCAGCUUCUGGGCCAAUUCUCUCCUGACCGUGGCCGAAGUCUGUCGGGACCUGCAUCAUCAUCCAGGUUAGCAGCGAGACAUCACAGGCCACCCACUGGACACCCUGGGAAUGAAAAAGAGGCCAAAGGUCUGGUGUCUUUAACUGGAAAAGUACGAUUGCAAGAUUAACAACGGCGACCCCGGUGUGCAUUACUGCUGGUGGAAACAAGCAUAUGAUAUCACAACAGAGGAAGAAAAGGCAGCAAAUCUGCUUUCAAAGCCCACAGUGUGACAGCUUUACGGUCGUCUUUUGAACGGUAUCAAUACUGGUUUCCUAUUGCUACUGUAACAGACUGCCCCGAAUUUCGUCGCUUCAGAUUAUUCUGCCUGUCCCAGCACUGCAGCCUUAUGCUUCCAGUGAGAGUUCCCGUCCUUGCCCCUCAGAUAACCAGGCACGGACAUGCAGUUAGGUCUUCAUAUUUGAAAACAGGACAGGACCAUAACUCUUGGAUGCUAUUACUUCUUUUUCUUUUUGGCAAGUUGAAGAAUACCAGGUAACUGUAAGAAUGAAGAAACUGUAACUUCUGUAUUCGUCUGCAUUGUCCCUCUCUUGGUCUGUAUCUGUCUCCUUUGGCUGCUUUCCCCCUUGUCCUCUUUAUAUUCUGGAUUACUAAGCCUUUAUUCACUUCACUUGUCUGUGAGUAUAAAAAGAAGAAAAAAUCUAGGUCUCUUUCUAUUAAGACAGAUGACUUUAUAAUACAUUUUAAACACCCUGAAAAUACACAGACUUUUUCUUAAGGUGUUUUGUUGUCGUACCUUGGAUUGGAGUGUUAAAUGAUAUGUGGAACCUGAUUUCUCAAGAAGAAUUUAUUCUAAAACAGCAGUGUAAUAAGUUUAAAAUACAGAGAAAAAAAAUCCAAUAUGUGGAUUGGAAAAAAAAUCCAUAGCUCUGGUUUAGGUCCCAUAUGUGUGGAUGUGUGACAUCCAUCAGUGGGAUAAACAGCACCUGGUGGCUGAUUUACAGAGUGGUAUUCCUCCAAAAAGGCAGCCAUUCACCCCCUGACAACUGAAUGAGUGAUGGCAGCUGUAUUCCAGAAGGCUCUAUUUGGGAAAGCAAAAUUUAGGGUAGGGUGGGAUCAACAUAAAAAGAUAAGGAGACGUAAGGAUCCCAUCUGUCUGGGUCUCUUGGGUUAGAGCCAGCCCCUAGAGGAUACAGCGUCUCCCUCUUCUUCUAGACUGGGGGAUAUUGAAGAUUUGCAUUGAGGCGAUCCAUACAUGCCACAGCUGCCCCUUGGUCAGUCCGUUUGGAUUAGUGAAUCAGGAUAAAAAUGGUUUCUGCUUUAAAAAGCAAACAACAAACAAACAAACAAACUGAUUCAUCAGCCUUCAUGUUUAACAAUUAGAACUACCACAGGCAAGUUCAGGAAUGGUAAGUCAGCAAUGCUAAGGCUUGACUGGUGCCCUGACAGUCCCACCUUUGCCACAAAACCUCCCAUUAUUCUGGAAGUAUUCUAUGGCUGCUCUUCCUGUACCACACAAGGCCCUACUCAUGAAAAGAAAGCACUAAAACCUGACUUUAAUUCGGAUGCACAGUGAAAGAGAAAAUGGGAGAGCCAUUCAAAGCAGUAGAUCCUGAAAUUUAACUCUUGAGCUUUAGCCUCAGGCUUCAUGAGCUCAAAUCUCAGUUCCAGCGGGAGAGGAAAUGUGGAGUCACUGCUUAGUGGGUACAGAGUUUCUGUUUGAGAUGGUGAAAGCAUUCUGGAAUACGUAAUGGGUGGUGAUCAUUACACAGCAGUAUGGAGUACUUAAUGCUACCAAAUUGUUACUUCGAAAUGGCUAAAAAGGUGAAUUUUACGUUACAUAUAUUUACCACAAUAAAAAAAAUGAAGGUAAGAAUUCCA